UUGCUACUCUUUCCGUUUCAUAAUUCUUGUCUCAAAUUUGAUCAAGAAUGGAUGUACCUAUUCCUAAAAAGUGUCUAGGUACAUGUAAGAUUUGGACAAGAAUUAUGGAACGGAGGGAGUAGAAA
Molecule: non-coding RNA, 125 nt
Organism: Brachypodium distachyon (stiff brome)
Lineage: Eukaryota; Viridiplantae; Streptophyta; Magnoliopsida; Poales; Poaceae
Source: Rfam